GACGAACGCUGGCGGCGUGCUUAACACAUGCAAGUCGAACGGAAAGGCCCUGCUUUUGUGGGGUGCUCGUGUGGCGAACGGGUGAGUAACACGUGAGUAACCUGCCCUUGACUUUGGGAUAACUUCAGGAAACUGGGGCUAAUACCGGAUAGUAGCUCCUGCUGCAUGGUGGGGGUUGGAAAGUUUCGGCGGUUGGGGAUGGACUCGCGGCUUAUCAGCUUGUUGGUGGGGUAGUGGCUUACCAAGGCUUUGACGGGUAGCCGGCCUGAGAGGGUGACCGGCCACAUUGGGACUGAGAUACGGCCCAGACUCCUACGGGAGGCAGCAGUGGGGAAUAUUGCACAAUGGGCGGAAGCCUGAUGCAGCAACGCCGCGUGCGGGAUGACGGCCUUCGGGUUGUAAACCGCUUUCGCCUGUGACGAAGCGUGAGUGACGGUAAUGGGUAAAGAAGCACCGGCUAACUACGUG
This 468-nucleotide ribosomal RNA is filed under the name uncultured bacterium. RNAcentral's name for it is "partial 16S ribosomal RNA". It matches the Rfam family "Bacterial small subunit ribosomal RNA", at positions 28 to 507 of the family's 1533-position model. The record is from RNAcentral.